RNAcentral lists this transfer-messenger RNA (280 nucleotides) under Terrimicrobium sacchariphilum. It matches the Rfam family "transfer-messenger RNA", at positions 1 to 294 of the family's 374-position model. Rfam says of the family: Bacterial tmRNA, also known as 10Sa RNA or SsrA, is named for its dual tRNA and mRNA-like properties. Its role is to liberate the mRNA from a stalled ribosome. Lineage: Bacteria; Pseudomonadati; Verrucomicrobiota; Terrimicrobiia; Terrimicrobiales; Terrimicrobiaceae. The record is from RNAcentral.
GGGGGCGUAUUGGUUUCGACGUGAAGUUUGAUGCCCGGCCCGCAUGCCGAGGAUGAUUCGUUGGCCUCGUUAAAAAUCGGAUCAAACAAAUAAACGCAGAUUACGAAGAUCUCGCUCUCGCGGCCUAACGUGCCGUGACGUGUUUCCGGUGACGCCUGCUAGGCGGAAAUACGACGACAGCAGGCUAGCUCAAGGCUGGGGCGACCGCGGCCAAGAGUGAAUUCGAUUUCGUGGACGCUCAGGAGCGGGUAGCGCGACGACCCGUAGCAUCGCUCCAAAA